UACAUACUUCCUUCGUCUUAAAAUUCUUGUUUUAGAUUUGUCUAGAUAUGAAUGUAUGUAGUCACAUUUUGAUAUUUAGAUACAUCUAUUUCUAGACAAACCUAGAAUAAAAAAUUUAAAACGGAGGGAGUGCUAG
Hordeum vulgare subsp. vulgare (domesticated barley) is the source of this 136-nucleotide non-coding RNA. NCBI's taxonomy places the organism in Eukaryota, Viridiplantae, Streptophyta, Magnoliopsida, Poales, Poaceae. The record is from Rfam.